CUGGGCGUCUACGUGCCUCACGUCUCGCGAGUCGUAAUCGUCGAUUUUCUUGAUCACGUCACCCCUCUGGAGCGCCUCGUUCUCCGACUGCAAACACAAAAACCGAUUUCCUUCAAACAUUCGAUUCGCUUCUACUCUCAGAAAUGGAAAAUAGAAAAGACUCGAUACGUACAGUAACGUAUAAUUGUGCAUCUACGAUGAAAAGUAUAUGGUUGGAUCAUGUCCAAACGUGUUUAUGGCUCCCCCCUUCUACGUUCGAAUCGUGCUAGAAAGAAUGAAACUGAGAGGAUCGAGAAGAUACACGAGAUCGAGCCACACGUGACAGGUACUACUGCUUUGCCGUACACAUCCAAUAAUAACUGCACGGGCGGCAACGCGUGCGAAUCUACAUAGUAAUAUAUUACUGUACGUAUCGGACAGCCCUGGCUCGAAGAAAUCGGUGGUUUAGUGCCAGAAGGGUGCAGCUACAUAAUUGAAUGAUCGACUGGAACAACGUCGUAUAUUCAUCAAGGUGGUAAAACCUGGCCAGUUCUGCUAAACUUCUUUUAUUCUCACAAAUGAAUGAAACUGUUGUAACGUCCAUGGCAGAAAUAUUAUGUUGUUAUCGUACUACGUUAAGACAUUAUAAUUAACGUAGAUAACACAUUGGCUAUUAUUCACAAUGUCUCAAGCUUAAACUCAAAUACAGUUAUUUGUUUCCAUCUGCCAAAAGAAAGUGGAAAUACUCAGAGAACAAUAACAUUUUAAGGAGAGCGAAAGGAAACAAAAA
Hylaeus volcanicus is the source of this 769-nucleotide long non-coding RNA. RefSeq lists it as uncharacterized. Lineage: Eukaryota; Metazoa; Arthropoda; Insecta; Hymenoptera; Colletidae. The transcript is spliced from 3 exons. The record is from RefSeq and is a predicted model, not a curated record.